This 452-nucleotide ribosomal RNA is filed under the name uncultured bacterium. RNAcentral describes it as "bacterial SSU rRNA". It matches the Rfam family "Bacterial small subunit ribosomal RNA", at positions 29 to 524 of the family's 1533-position model. The record is from RNAcentral.
AGCGAACGCUGGCGGCAGGCCUAACACAUGCAAGUCGAACGAACCCUUCGGGGUUAGUGGCGGACGGGUGAGUAACACGUGGGAACGUACCUUUAGGUUCGGAACAACACAGGGGAAACUUGUGCUAAUGCCGAAUGUGCCCUUCGGGGGAAAGAUUUAUCGCCUUUAGAGCGGCCCGCGUCUGAUUAGCUUGUUGGUGAGGUAAAGGCUCACCAAGGCUACGAUCAGUAGCUGGUCUGAGAGGAUGAUCAGCCACACUGGGACUGAGACACGGCCCAGACUCCUACGGGAGGCAGCAGGUGGGGAAUCUUGCGCAAUGGGCGAAAGCCUGACGCAGCCAUGCCGCGUGAAUGAUGAAGGUCUUAGGAUUGUAAAAUUCUUUCACCGGGGAAGAUAAUGACGGUACCCGGAGAAGAAGCCCCGGCUAACUUCGUGCCAGCAGCCGCGGUAAU